AGAACUUUAAGAUAAUAAACUUUUGUUGCUUUAAACCACCAGAUAUGUGAUGAUGUGUUACAUUAGCAAUAGAAAACUGACCUAUACCUCCCUGUCCAUGUUCUAGAACUUCUAGGUAAAUUUCUCAAUUCUUUAUCUUUAGGCAUCUUCUCUGCCUGCGAGACCAUCAAUAAUGGAAAAGGAUUUUUCCAGUGCUUUUUAGGCCAGAGAGAGAGAGGGAAGGAAGGAAGAAAAGAGCAAGACAAAGAGGAAGCAAGCCAGUGGAACAGUGAAUGCUGUAAUGCAAAGGUUCCUGCGACUCCAGCUUGUAGGAACAGAGUGACUUCUGCUUAAGCAUAUGUCUGUAUCACAUUCCUCACCACUCAGGAGAGGUAUCAAGAUUAAAGGAAUAUAUGGAAGCAUUUUAAAAAUAUGAGCA
This 418-nucleotide long non-coding RNA is filed under the name Callithrix jacchus (white-tufted-ear marmoset). Its description in RNAcentral is "lncRNA (ENSCJAG00000085103.1)". Lineage: Eukaryota; Metazoa; Chordata; Mammalia; Primates; Cebidae. The record is from RNAcentral.